GGGGAAUCUUAGACAAUGGGGGCAACCCUGAUCUAGCCAUGCCGCGUGAUCGAUGAAGGCCUUAGGGUUGUAAAGAUCUUUCAGCUGGGAAGAUAAUGACGGUACCAGCAGAAGAAGCCCCGGCUAACUCCGUGCCAGCAGCCGCGGUAAUACGGAGGGGGCUAGCGUUGUUCGGAAUUACUGGGCGUAAAGCGCACGUAGGCGGAUUGGAAAGUUGGGGGUGAAAUCCCGGGGCUCAACCCCGGAACUGCCUUCAAAACUCCCAGUCUUGAGGUCGAGAGAGGUGAGUGGAAUUCCGAGUGUAGAGGUGAAAUUCGUAGAUAUUCGGAGGAACACCAGUGGCGAAGGCGGCUCACUGGCUCGAUACUGACGCUGAGGUGCGAAAGCGUGGGGAGCAAAC
RNAcentral lists this ribosomal RNA (400 nucleotides) under uncultured bacterium. Its description in RNAcentral is "bacterial SSU rRNA". It matches the Rfam family "Bacterial small subunit ribosomal RNA", at positions 356 to 773 of the family's 1533-position model. The record is from RNAcentral.